Long non-coding RNA from Physella acuta, 216 nucleotides. RefSeq lists it as uncharacterized. The record is from RefSeq and is a predicted model, not a curated record. Lineage: Eukaryota; Metazoa; Mollusca; Gastropoda; Physidae.
AAGUUCUGAUUAUCUUAUUUAAUCUAAUAUUAAUUUCUUAAGCAGUAAGCUUUGUGAAGUUUCUCAUAGUUGAAGACUCAGAAAUGGUAUAAUUAUCAAGAACGAGGCUUCCUAUGAGAGAAUGAGAUGUAAAUAGUAGUGUGGAGACCUCAGAGCAAGACAUAAUUUCACGACCAACAGCGUUAAGAUGGUACUAUUAGUAAGCCCUACUUAUUG